This is a long non-coding RNA of Onychostoma macrolepis, 997 nucleotides long. RefSeq lists it as uncharacterized. The record is from RefSeq and is a predicted model, not a curated record. Lineage: Eukaryota; Metazoa; Chordata; Actinopteri; Cypriniformes; Cyprinidae. The transcript has 5 exons.
UUUCUGAUCAACGGCCAUCUUGUUUUGUGGAAGACCUCGGCUGAUAAACAAUAAAACUGGAAAGAGAUUUUUGUGACAACUUUGCAUGUUAUUACAUCACAAAAACUCAUGCCUGCUGGAUUAAUAUGCAUUUGAGGAGAUACAAAAGGUGAUUCCAAAGCAAUACGUACAUAUAUGAGGAAAAACAGACAACUUGGAGAAGGAAACUGAGGUUACUCUUCAACACACUGCAGUUCUCCGUGGCAUUCCUGUCCAGCUUGGGCACAACACGGAGAGGAAAAGUCUUGCGUGUUUAUUUUCAUGUUUUCUCUUGAUUCAGCUAUUGUGUUUACUUGAUGACACAAGUUGAAAUUGCAAUACAUGUCAAAGGAGUUAGACAGUAUGAGCAAAUGUUUUUGUUACUAUGCAAGUUAAAGUAUAUUGUGUGUGCAUUCUUUUUAUUGUUUUAAUGUGCUCAAAUGCUCUUUUGUUGGUUUUGAUUGCUUCUAUUGUCCUCAUUUGUAAGUCACUUUGGAUAAAAGCGUCUGCUAAAUGACUAAAUGUAAAAGUACAACUCUUAACAUUUAAUUUGGGAUUUUUUCUGAUUCAAGCAUUGUUAAUGAACAACUAUUUCCAUGUUGAUUUACAUUUGUUUUCUGCAUUUUGAAAAAUAAAUGUUUUGAAAUGUGAAUGGCCAGCUGUGUGUUUUUUUUAACUAGGUAUAGCUAUUCUCAGUGUUCCUCAGAUCACAGAUUCAAUUAAGUUAACUAAACUUAAAUGGCUUAAGUAAAUAGGACUUAAAAUAAGUAAAGAAUACUUUUAAUAUAUUAGUAAAUAAGACUUAAAUUACACUUAACCUUUUGAGCGGUACGGUCCCACAUAUGGGAUUUUUAUUUCCGUGCCCCUGGGAGUACAGUCCCACAUAUGGGAUUUAGAACGUUCGGUGACGUCGCAUAACUGCCAAAUUCAAACUGUGGUUUCGCGCGUUUACUGGCGCUGACUCAGAGAGAGAUGUGCA